This is a long non-coding RNA of Oncorhynchus mykiss (rainbow trout), 3370 nucleotides long. RefSeq lists it as uncharacterized. Lineage: Eukaryota; Metazoa; Chordata; Actinopteri; Salmoniformes; Salmonidae. The record is from RefSeq and is a predicted model, not a curated record.
UCUGCGCUUCUUUUCUGCUGGUUCCUUAAGAACCGAAUGAAAUGGCCCGUAUACGUUGUACCAGAUAUCUUUACUCAUAAUUAAACUGUCACUUGUCAUACAAUAGACCACCUUGUCUGAAUCGAUCCUUGACCGGCUCACCCUCCUACAUAUCCCAUUAUUAACAGAAACUUGGUAGCAGAGGGAUGGUUUACUAACGACCCAGUCCAGAGUGGUUGAUGUGGGUGUGAGGGGGCGAGUUGGUGAAAGGACGGUUCCCGGAGGACAGGUGAAAACCAUUCGGGGGUGGACAACAAUUCUGCUCAACUCGGGAAACUGAUCUCUGGUCGACCACAAAAUAAGGUAAGCAAAACCUGUUUUAUCAAACUUUGCAUAUUGUCGAAUAGUCAUACCAAAUUACGAUCAGUAGUACCGAGUGUGGGUAAGAAUUUUUGUGUAAAUUUUAUAUAAAUAAUGGACUUGAAAUUGACAGUGAAGUAAACAUAUGUGGUAAUUAGAAUAUCCCGAUAGUCCGGCAUGAGAACGGUCCGGUGGCAGACACCGGUAAGGGAUGAGUAGUAGUUAGAAUAUUCUGAUAGUCCGGCAUGAGAACGGUCCGGUGGCAGACACCGGUAAGGGAUAUUUAGUAGUAGACCUAAUAUUAAUAGAAUAUUCUGAUAGUCCGGCUGUGAACGGUCUGGUGGCAGACACCAGUAAGGAAUAAAUAAUAUAGUCUAGGAUAGAUUUUCACCGAUAGUCCGGCUAGUGACCGGUCCAGCUGUGUCUGGUAAGGUGGUCUAUUAUUGAGUAUUGAUGUGACCAGGAUUAUAUUCUAUGUAUAAGUGAUAUUCGUUCGGGCGUCUGAAAAAGGGCGUGAUCAGUUUUAUCAUUAACAUCUGAGUAUGAUUCGAUCAUUCAUCUGCAAAAGAUAAAUCCAAUUAGUGUUUUAGAUAGAACCAAUAGCCGGUAGUGUCCGGUGAGGUUAAAAUCCAAUAGCUGGUAGUGUCCGGUGAGGUGUCUACAAUAGAUUAAUGUAUGAUUAAGAUAUGUUGGACUGAAAAGUCCGCUUUGUGUUGUGGCCAGAAUGAAUGUGAUAAAUGUACUAAUGUGUGAUGUCAUAGAAUAAGAUGUUCUAAUUGAACAAUUGUGUUUAAAACUAUGUCCAUGUAAUAAUAUUUGUGUGUUGACUAUAGACUAAAUGUAAACGGCGUUUCACAAGUCCCUGAUAUUAUUACCAUUAUUUAAAAUUAUUGUGAGCAAAGUAUUUCCUAAAUUCAAAAAAAAAAAAAAAAAUCUAUUAUCCAAAUUGUUAAAACAUAGUUUAUGUUGAUAAUCAUUUCCUGAAUUGGUGGCUCGUGUUUAAUCAUUAAAACAUUAUUGUUUAAAAUUCUGGAUAUAUGACGGAGAGGCUCUGAGUUAAGACAGAGUACGAGUAAUAGUGUCUCCUAAGAAUACAUCACUGGCACGAGCCAGUGACGGGCUAAGUAUAUCCAAAGAGUGUACAAAAUAUUUCUAAAAAAAAACACGUCAAAUCAGCACCUAAGACAGGUGGAGGAGAGGUUUGGCAUUACACACAAGUUUGGCUCUGUGUAUAGGCCGCAAUCGCAGGGCCUUGUGGAACGCUGUAAUCAAAAUCUGAAAGCUAAGAUAGCUAAAGUGUGUGCAGGGACACAUCUUUCACCCCAUGAAAUAAUGACAGGUAGAGUAAUGCCAGGGCCACCAAGAGAGGGAGGUCAUAUGCCCCCUCUUGAUGUGCACCAGAUAGGGAUGUCUGACUAUGUGAAGAAAUUGACGGAAUUGUCUGCAGCUCUCUCCAAACAGAUACACCGUGUCGCAGAGGGGGAGCUGACUGACGUCCCGGAACAACCAAGGGUAAAAGUUGGGGACUGGGUAAGGAUCAAGGUCCACAAGAGAAAGUGGGCUGAUCCCAGGUGGACUGGACCGUACGAAGUGAAGGAGGUUACUUCACACUCAGUCCAGGUCAAAGGUAAAUUAGGCGCACCUUGGCACCACCUGACACAUUGUACACCAGCCCCAACCCCUGCCAGAACUCUGGCUGAAGUAAGAAGUGAUUUACUCACAUCCAAUUCGAAUUCAAAUUCUGACAUCCCUCCCGUCUGAUCAUGUGGAGGAGACUCCCAUCCUCAGAUGAUAGGGACACUAGAGUAGCACCAUGGGCUAGAAGGGCUAGGAGACCAUGGGAAAGACUGGGUUGUUCUGGCCCAUUGUUUGUCCUAAUUAUAGUCAAUGUUGUUUUGACAUUGGGAGUAAUGAUAUGGGCAGCCCAGCGUAUAAUCACUGACCAGGAACAGACUACCCAGCUAAACAUCACCAAUGCUUCAAUAUUCUCGGAUACGCAUGUUCUGUCUAAACGUCAAGUUCAGAAUAAUGACUUUGAGUGUACUGCAGAAUUGAUUAGGUCAGCUACUCUGUGUAUCCCGCCUAACGCUACUACCACUGUUAUACUUACCUGGGGUGUUAUUGGAAGCCCAGGUGGCGGUUAUGGUACUCAUGCAAUCAGUUGGUCUAGAUCAGUGUGGUACAUGACAGAAGGGGGGUAUAAUAAAUGGACGUGGAAGAAUUUAGUGGCAGAGACUGGUCCUGACUGGUCUAGCUGGACAGUGCAUCAGAUGGCACUCCUGUGGCGGAGCAGGUUGACGUUAACUAAAGUUACAACUGGUUUGAAAUUGGUAAUCAAACACAGGGAAGGUGGUAUGACUUAUGACCUCCAUUGUAACUUUCCUUUGUGGUCUGAUCAGCCUCAUUGGAAAGCCAUUUGGAUGGAGAAUCUAGGGUAAUUUGUAAUACUGAUAUUAAGGUAAUUUAAUACAAAAAGGCAGUGAAAUUUACAUUAUAGUGUCAUUAUAUUUUCUCUGAUGAACGUGGUGUGAAAAUUUAGCUAGGAUAAGUUUUAUUUAUGGUAGACUCAUGUUAAGUAUUUGGGACAUAUUUUGAGCAAACAGGGCAGGGAAGAAAUUGAGAUAUUUGUGUUUGGUUUUAACACCUGUAUAUAGGGGGUGCCAUUUGAAUAUUUAAUUUGUGGUCAUGGGUAAUACGGUUUGUUUUUGUUUUUAUUUUUUAAGGUAAAUUAAUUAUAGUGGGGUUUAAUUAACCUAUAUAAGGACUUUAGAAAGUGCCACCAUAGACAUGUUUUUCUAAAAAAAAAAUCCAUGAGUUUAGAUAAAGCCAAACAGUGAGACAUUUAGUUCAAAUUUGGAAACAUGAGAAAACGAGCUACAGACAGAUAAGGGGAAAAGGCAGACAGAAGAGCCCUCCCCUGCACUGCAGAGACCUUGAAGGUUGGAGAGCAGAGAGGAUAAGUUUUAAAAGGGAGCCAGGACGAGCAAAGAUAACAGAAUGUGUAGAUAACAGUUACUGAGUGGAGACAAAA